GGGCCGGGACAAAGCCUGGGCCGGGCCUGCGCUUCCAUUCGCUUGACUGGCUGCGCUUGUUUUCAGGGUUUUGGUCUGAAAACGGAUCUUACCUGCGCAGAGCAAAAUCGGUUGUAGAUUAUAUCCACGAAAAUUCCUUCUAUUAAAAUGAAUUUCAAGUCCCACCUACCCUGGAAGCAGAAAGAGAGAGAAGAGAGAGAGUAAAGAGAAAGAGAAAAGAAAGAGAAGUUGAAAAAGAGAAAGAAAACCAAGAAAGAAAGAGAAAAAAACCGAAAAUAAAUGGACAAGAAAGAAAAAGAUGUAGUCUGGUUUUGUUGCCCAGGCUGGUCUCCAGCUUCUAGCCUCAAGCAGUCUUCCCAUCUGCUCCUACCAAAGUGCUCGGAUUAUAGGCAUGAGUCACCUUGCAUGGGAGAUAAGGACCCCACAUCAAGCCCUCAGGUCACUGGGAUCCCGGACUAUGGCACUGCUCCAGGCAGGCCUGGUUAUCCUGCUUGAGGCAGCAAUCCUCUUGAGCCUAGUGAAAUGCAACUGGCUGUACCUCAGUGAUGUUGCCCUGAGAUUCCGCCAGUCGAGGCCAACGUGCCAUGCAUCCCUGGAGCAUGAAACCCAGGAUGGGCCGCCUUCCAGCCUCCCGCAGCUGUGAUGCAAGUUGAACACAUACAGAGAGACUGCAUCUGCACUGGGUGGUUUUCCUGAGCCUUGGGGAGCAGAAUGCAUGAAUCCCAGAUGGAGGAAGUGGACCAUGAGUCAAAGGAUAUAAGUGGCCUCUGGAACUUACAAAGGGCUUAUAAACAGAAGAGACUUGCUUGUCUCAGAUGAAACUUUGGACUGUGGACUUUUGAGUUAAUGCUGAAAUAAGUUAAGACUUUGGGGGACUGUUGGGGAGGCAUGAUUGGUUUUGAAAUGUGAGGACAUGAGAUUUGGGAGGGACCAGGGGCAAAAUGAUAUGGUUUGGCUGUGUCCCCACCAAAUCUCAUCUUGAAUUGCAGCUCCCAUGAUCCCCACAUGUGGGAGGGACCCGGUGGGAGGUAACUGAAUCAUGGGGGUGGGAUUUUCCUGUGCUGUUCUCAUGA
This 1073-nucleotide long non-coding RNA is filed under the name Pan troglodytes (chimpanzee). RNAcentral describes it as "lincRNA". Lineage: Eukaryota; Metazoa; Chordata; Mammalia; Primates; Hominidae. The record is from RNAcentral.